RNAcentral lists this ribosomal RNA (505 nucleotides) under uncultured bacterium. Its description in RNAcentral is "partial 16S ribosomal RNA". It matches the Rfam family "Bacterial small subunit ribosomal RNA", at positions 29 to 523 of the family's 1533-position model. The record is from RNAcentral.
AGUGAACGCUGGCGGUAGGCCUAACACAUGCAAGUCGAACGGCAGCACAGGAGAGCUUGCUCUCUGGUGGCGAGUGGCGGACGGGUGAGGAAUACAUCGGAAUCUACUCUGUCGUGGGGGAUAACGUAGGGAAACUUACGCUAAUACCGCAUACGACCUACGGGUGAAAGCAGGGGAUCUUCGGACCUUGCGCGAUUGAAUGAGCCGAUGUCGGAUUAGCUAGUUGGCGGGGUAAAGGCCCACCAAGGCGACGAUCCGGAGCUGGUCUGAGAGGAUGAUCAGCCACACUAGAACUGAGACACGAUCCAGACUCCUACGGGAGGCAGCAGUGGGGAAUAUUGGACAAUGGGCGCAAGCCUGAUCCAGUCAUACCGCGGGGGUGAAGAAGGCCUUCGGGUUGUAAAGCCCUUUUGUUGGGAAAGAAAUCCAGCUGGCUAAUACCCGGUUGGGAUGACGGUACCCAAAGAAUAAGCACCGGCUAACUUCGUGCCAGCCGCCGCCGUAA